GAUGAACGCUGGCGGCGUGCCUAAAACAUGCAAGUCGAGCGGUAAGGCCCCUUCGGGGGUACACGAGCGGCGGACGGGUGAGUAACACGUGGGAAUCUACCCCAAACUGAGGGAUAAGCACCGGAAACGGUGUCUAAUACCGCAUAUGGUCUUCGGAUUAAAGCUUCGGCGGUUUGGGAAGAGCCCGCGCAAGAUUAGCUAGUUGGUAAGGUAAUGGCUUACCAAGGCGACGAUCUUUAGCUGGUUUGAGAGGAUGAUCAGCCACACUGGAACUGAGACACGGUCAAGACUCCUACGGGAGGCAGCAGUUAGGAAUCUUCCACAAUGGGCGAAAGCCUGAUGGAGCAACGCCGCGUGCAGGAUGAAUGCCUUCGGGUUGUAAACUGCUUUUAUGUGCGAAGAAUAUGACGGUAACACAUGAAUAAGGAUCAGCUAACUCCGUGCCAGCAGCCGCGGUAA
Molecule: ribosomal RNA, 459 nt
Filed under: uncultured bacterium
Lineage: Bacteria
Description: partial 16S ribosomal RNA
Rfam family: Bacterial small subunit ribosomal RNA
Source: RNAcentral